UGAGUUCACUUUUCCUUGACUAAAAAGAACAUCACCAAUGCCUGUGUUUUCUUCCAUAGCAGUGAAUGUGCUGAUUAUUACACAGUAAAUCAUGCUUGGAAUUUAUACUCUGCCGGGAAUUUUGCUCUAGAGGAAGGGAUGCAGGCAUCACAGGCAGAGACUUAACCCACUGUGCCACAAUGAUGAACCUUGGCUUCUUCCUUCUGCCGGGUAUUGGAAAGUACCCAUGGACUCAAACUUGCCUUGGAAUUAUCUGAAGACCAACAUCAUUUGGAGUUUCCCAUUCAUAGAGAAUCCAUGUUCCAAAGUUUGAAUGGAUUUUUGUUGUAAAUGUUAUUUGAUGUUUUAGUUUAUUUAUGCAAUGGCCUCUUCUUAAUGCUCUUAAUACUGAGGAUUGACUGCCUUAGGAAAAAAUAUUCUAACUAUGAUGCUAUCAACAACAGUUUGUGGGUUUCAGAUCAAGAGAUUGGAGGAUUUUUCACACAAACAUUGAGAAAUAUUUGUACAAUCCUAAAGCAAAUAAUUCCAGGUUCAGAAUACCUAUCUGCCACAUUCUCUGAUUUGUAUAGAAAUAAAAAAUAUCAUGGGAAAUUGAGGCUGUGUUACUGAUAUUGUUGUGACUCUCAGAAAAUCUGUUAUCCUUUUACAACCUAUACUUCCUCAGUUGUGGAAUGGAAAUGAAAUAAAAUAAAGGGCAUGGGACUUAGCAGGACUCCAUUAAAUUCCCUCCUUCUCUCUCUCCCUCUUUUCCUUUGUUCUUUCCUUGGUAGCUUCUCUAUGUGCACUCUGAGGACGAGAAAAGCAGCCCCUGAGAACCAAGAGCUGGCUUUUUAUUCAUAACUAGUCUUCAGGAUUUCCCUAUAGAACAUGAAUAAUUUUAUAGAAUACUAUCAGACAAGAACAUUCUGUGAUGCUGAUGGAGCAAGCCGAAUCAAGAACACUCCAUAAUCAGAGCAAAAAACAGACGAAAAUCUUGUUCCAACCAAGACCAAGCAUUGCCCUUUUUGGUGAAUCCAAGUGACUGCUACUUCUUUGCCCACGAUAGAUUUAGCUUCACUUCAUUCUCCCUUUUCCUAAGGUAAGAGAACAUAGUCUUUUGAAGUUUGUUUUUAUAUUUGCAAAAUG
This is a non-coding RNA of Oryctolagus cuniculus (rabbit), 1125 nucleotides long. The record is from RefSeq and is a predicted model, not a curated record. NCBI's taxonomy places the organism in Eukaryota, Metazoa, Chordata, Mammalia, Lagomorpha, Leporidae.